ACGUAGGUUUUACAGUGAAAAGCUGAAGAAGUUGUGACGGCGAUGAAAGGACUGAAAGAUUUGCUCGAAGCAAAGACAUCUAGCCGAGAUACAUAUGCAACGAAGAGGAGGGAUCUUAUGUAGAAUAUGCAACAUCCAUGGUGCUGAAGGAUUCGUCGCACGCCAAACAGAGCACCCGAGGAGAAGAGGAGGAUGCUCUGAAGAGAGGAAAUGAUAUGUUUUUUUUGUUUUAAGAGCAAGAUAGAAGUUGAUAUGUAGUCC
This is a long non-coding RNA of Triticum aestivum (bread wheat), 261 nucleotides long. RefSeq lists it as uncharacterized. The transcript has 3 exons. NCBI's taxonomy places the organism in Eukaryota, Viridiplantae, Streptophyta, Magnoliopsida, Poales, Poaceae. The record is from RefSeq and is a predicted model, not a curated record.